GUAGGGGGCAAGCGUUGUCCGGAUUUAUUGGGCGUAAAGAGCGUGUAGGCGGUCUGGUAGGUCCGUUGUGAAAACUCGAGGCUCAACCUCGAGACGCCGAUGGAAACCAUCAGACUAGAGUCCGGAAGAGGAGAGUGGAAUUCCUGGUGUAGCGGUGAAAUGCGCAGAUAUCAGGAAGAACACCCGUGGCUAAGGCGGCUCUCUAGUACGGUACUGACGCUGAGACGCGAAAGCGUGGGGAGCGAACAGGAUUAGAUACCCUGGUAGUCCACGCCGUAAACGAUGGGUGCUAGGUGUAGGGGGUGUCGACUCCCUCUGUGCCGAAGCUAACGCAUUAAGCACCCCGCCUGGGGAGUACGGCCGCAAGGCUA
This 371-nucleotide ribosomal RNA is filed under the name uncultured bacterium. RNAcentral's name for it is "bacterial SSU rRNA". It matches the Rfam family "Bacterial small subunit ribosomal RNA", at positions 527 to 896 of the family's 1533-position model. The record is from RNAcentral.